Transfer RNA from Camelus ferus (Wild Bactrian camel), 72 nucleotides. It matches the Rfam family "tRNA". Rfam says of the family: Transfer RNA (tRNA) molecules are approximately 80 nucleotides in length. Their secondary structure includes four short double-helical elements and three loops (D, anti-codon, and T loops). NCBI's taxonomy places the organism in Eukaryota, Metazoa, Chordata, Mammalia, Artiodactyla, Camelidae. The record is from Rfam.
AAGGGUAUAGCUCAGUGAUAAAGAGCAUGCUUACCAUGCAUGAGGUCCUGGGUUCAAUCCCCAGUACCUCCA